ACCCCUAUGUACACCGUCCCGGAAUGCUUUCAUGACGGGGGUGUAUCCUUUCAAAGCUGGACUUCAGCAUGGAGCUCUGAUGGCUCAGCAAGCAGUGUGUUCGCCCUUCAAUAAACCUUUCCUCCCCCAAUACCUAAAGAAACUGGGAUAUGAAA
Molecule: long non-coding RNA, 155 nt
Organism: Mizuhopecten yessoensis (Yesso scallop)
Lineage: Eukaryota; Metazoa; Mollusca; Bivalvia; Pectinida; Pectinidae
Exons: 3
Source: RefSeq, a predicted model, not a curated record